AGGAGACAGAGGGCGCCUCUGUCCUCUCCUGGCCCCUUGCCCCACUGGGUGUCUGUGAAGGGGUGGAGCCGCUGGGGGGGCAGCGGGGGAAGGACUGCUAAAGACAGGUCUCUCACACAGCCCGGGAGCCACACUUGCAGCCUCGGCCAUUUGUGCAGAACCCGCUCCCAUCUCAGGCCCAGGCCAACUGUGAGUAUCCUGCCCAACCUGGCCUAGGUCCUUGGCCUGGCCAGCUUGGGGGAAAGGGGACUUCAGAGGGGGUCCCAAGAGCGGGGGAGGGGUGACGAUGGCAUUCUGCAUCGUGGUGCACUUAGGGCCUGGGAGGAAUUAGGGUAGGGGCAACUCAGAAUCUGGGGGAGACGGUUUGGAAGGUGGUAAGGGGGGGAGUGAGUAAGGGUCAGAGUUAGAGCUGGGAGCUCAGUGAAUGGGAGCCCAUCACCCAGCUUCCAGGCCACCAGCCCCUCCCACACAGAGCCCACGAGUCCCCUGCCAAGUCUCCUCAGUCUCUCAUUGUUGGGGAAGGGACACAGCCUUGCCUUGCCUCCCAUGGAGUAACAAGAACAGAAGAGAACAGCUGUUCCUACCCACUUCCAGACUCAGUCUCUGCCACCCCUGCUAGCCUUGCCAAGAGCCGGGCCCAGGGAGGUCUGGGGGCAGCAGAGCAAGGGCCGCAUGAUUAUCAGGAAGAGAGGACUCUUGGUUCUGAGCCCUCUCCCAACUCUUCCUUCACAAGACGUCCCCUUUGUCUUCCUCUUUUCUCAGCCCAGACCCCCCUCCUCUUUCCCCAAUUCCUUCCUCUGUAGUUUUCCUAUUUCCCCAACCCAGGUCCUCCCAGAACUGCCCCCACAUAAAAUCCCAGGCUGCUGGAGAGCUAGCGGCAACCUCCAGCUGUCCCUCCUGAUAGGGCUGGUAACUGAGCCACCAGCAUCCCUCCCUCGAGCACCCCUUAUCCUCUCUAUCAGCCCCGUCUUAGGUUCCGUCACCCCCACGUCUCUGUGACAAUUGCUUCUCAUGUCUGGAGUUCAGGUGACACUCACAAGGGCCUUAUUGAAGAGCUGGGAUGUCAUCUGAUCAGAGCCCAUUGUCCACUCCCCCAGUCCUGGGGAAGGAUGGGGAUACCUGAUCCCAGACACCUGAGCUGCCCCUUGGGGCUGCGGAGGGCCUGACUGUCCCAGGGCCAAAGGACAGAGGCUCCCCAGCUUGGCAGUCUCCUCUCCUCAACAGACCCCUCCAUUCUUCUCCUGUUCUCGCCCAGCCCCUUGAACUCAAAAGACUUCAUGCACUCAGUUUUUAUCUCCCCAACACAUACCAGCCCCAUUCCCUGUUCCCACUGUACCCACAUCAACCAGGCAACCAGGGACCAAGGUCUACAGAUUCCCUCCCCCUCUCCAGGGCUCAGACAUUCUUUUCUCCCUUCCUGCCACCCACCUGAUGGAGGCCAUAAUUUUGCAGAGAGGAAUUAAACUGAAGGCACUGGGAGGCACACCCCAGAGAGGUCAAAAUGACAAGUUGAAGAGAGGAGGGCUUGAAGGACCAAAAAAGAGCCCUACAAAUUGCUGGCAGGAAAAUCAGAAACAGACUCCGUUCCCCCCAAAAGCUCUGGGCCACCCACUCAGGCUACCACCCUCUGUCAGGCUCACCAAGGGAGCCAGACUCAGUCCUUGCUGCAGUGGGCCCCAGAGCCAAGGCUACAGGGACGCCAGCCCACCACCCCACGGCAGAACUGGCAGAACUUGGUCGUGCUAGGCCUACAAGGUCCAGGGUAAAAAUAGAGCCGGCAGAAGCCAUCCUAUCCUGUGACCACCCCAGCCCGCCCCACCCUCGUCUCUGCCCAGGCAGUCAGGAGCCACUGCGGACGCCCACGGCAGGCCUCCGGAGCCAGCCCAGUUCCGGCUGCUUGCUCUCCAUGCCCAACCCUGACUCCCUUUGGCUAGGGUUCAGACUGAGGGACACAGAGGUCUGCAGUUAGUUGUGCUGGGCCUUCCCCCACGCUGUGAAAUCCCAACGAAAGAUAAGCUGCAGUAGGACUCCCACCUCAGGGUUAUUUGGCUGUGGAACCAGGUCCAGGCCCGAGGAGGCCCCGGGCCUGGUCCCCAGCUCACCCGGGUGCUGUGUGGACGGAAUAGGCGCACUGCUGCGAUGGGCUCUGAGCUGGAGUCUGCCAUGGAGACCCUCAUCAACGUGUUCCACGCCCACUCAGGCAAGGAGGGGGACAAGUACAAGCUGAGCAAGAAGGAACUGAAGGAGCUGCUGCAGACCGAGCUGUCUGGCUUCCUGGAUGUGAGCAUGGAGUGCCAGGAGAGGGCGGGUGGGCAAGAGGUGGGGCACUGGGGGCGCCUCCCUGCCAUUCCUCCCCGCCCCCGCAGCUCAGUCCAGCCACCCCCUCCUCUCUCAUGGGGGUCUUCCAGGCUCCCCUGUGUCAAAUCCAAAUGCCCUGGUUUACUGCCUACCUGUGAAGCACUAGGUCUUGUGCAGUUUCCUCAAUGAGGUUCACGGUCUAGAAGGGAAACCCCGAACUCCAGGAAGUACACAGAGCCUUAACAAAGGUGCCAGAAAGGGUUAGUGGGAGAUUAGUGGCCAGACUGAAGUAAGACGGUUCCUUGAAGAGUGGCAGUUGAGCCAGGGGCUUCCACUGGAAGAUGACUGGGGUCAAUGAAGACAUUUUAGGGGGUGUCUGCAUGAACACAAGCAUAGAAGACAAUGUGGAGCACGCCCAGCAGUUCCAUUUGACUGGAGAGUGUGGAGAAGCAGGCUGCAAACGUUAACAGGGGGCACACAGUGAAGAAGCCACUCAGAUAUGGCAGACCGGGCAGCUCUGCAUUCAAAUUUUGGUCCUACUACUUCCUUUUUCUUCCCCCGCGUCAGUAUUGGGCAUUGAACCCAACGGUGCUUUAUCACUGAGUUAACGCUCCCAGCCCUUUUUAUUUUUUAGGACAGGGUCUCACUAAGCUGCUGAGGCUGGCCUCAAACUUGGGAUCCUCGUGCCUCAGCCUCCUGAGUCACUGGGAUUAUGGGCAUGUGUCACUAAGACCAGCCCUGCCACCUUUUUUCUUUUUCUUUUUGGUACUGAGGAUUGAACUCAGGAGCAUUCAAUCACUGAGCCACAUCCCCAGCCCGUUUUACUUUUUUUUUUUUUAAAGAGAGAAUUUUAAUAUUUAUUUUUCAGUUAUCGGCGGACACAACAUCUUUGUAUGUGGUGCUGAGGAUGGAACCCGGGCCGCACGCAUGCCAGGCGAGCGCGCUACCGCUUGAGCCACAUCCCCAGCCCCCCUUUUUACUUUUUGAGACAGGGUCUCACUAAGUUGUAUAGGGGCCUUGUUAAAUUGCUGAGGCUGGCCUCAAACUUGGGAUCCUCAGUCUCCUGAGCUGCUGGGAUGACAGGUGUGCAUCACCACACCUAAUGUCAGCCCUGCCGCUUUUUGUGUGACUUUGGGCACAUUUACUUAACAAAAAUCAUCCAUGUUUCUUCUUCAGAAUGGAAUUAAUAAAAAGAGCCCCAUACUGCUUGUAUUAGAAUUAAACUAGACAGUGCCUGGAAGGCUCCUAGUGUAGUGCUUGUCACACUGUAGACAAUUAGCUUAUGGUGAUUGACGUUAUCAUUAACUCUUCCAGUUAAGGCGUUUCUUCUGAAGGCAACAGGAGCCCAUGAGCCUUCUUGGGUGGAAAGCAGAAGGUCCCAUGAUUAGAGGCUGUCUGACCUCUUGCUCACGUCUGCCUUGCUCUCCUCGACCACCUCCUGCCCCGACUCAGUGAUGCACACCUCCUCUCCCUCUUCUUCCUCCACAGGCCCAGAAGGAUGCAGAUGCUGUGGACAAGGUGAUGAAGGAGCUCGAUGAGAAUGGAGACGGGGAGGUGGACUUCCAGGAGUAUGUGGUGCUGGUGGCUGCUCUCACAGUGGCCUGUAACAACUUCUUCUGGGAGAACAGUUGAGCAGACAGCCCAGUGGGCAGCGCCCUUCCCCUCCCCCUGCCGGGCCCGCCCCUUCACCUGCUUUCACCUCACCCCACUUAUCCCUGUCCACAUUCUCACCAUUGCCCACCUCCUUCAAUACACACCAAGGGCGCAAGAGUAGCAGUCCAGGCCUGCAACUAAUCUUUCAUUAAAGGCUCCGCUCUCAGCAGCCAUCAAUGUCUGUCUCCUCUGGGGUCUGGAAGUGGGUGGAGAAAUGAGAGUUGAUUACUCCCAACUCCCCCGAUUUUGGAAAGAGUUCCCUGUGCACAUCAUCUUCCUACCUGAAGAACGCUCAAGACUUACAAAUGUAGGGGUCCAAGGUUCCAGCUGGAAGAGACAUCAGCUUCUCAACUACAAAACCAGAAGGAAAAAAGCUCCUUUCAACCUUCAACCAACCUUUACUGAGGUCCUACCACGUGCUAAACAUUGUGUGGGAACUGGGGACACACCAGUGAGCAAAAUAAAACUCUCCUUACCUCAUCAGAAUAAAGUCUAGCAAGGGUGCAGGACCAUUAAACACACCCACACAAACUAAGUGCCAGGAAAAACAAAGGGUCCCAAAGUUACAUGGGGCAGAAGAAAGUGCUGAAGAUGUUCAUUCAUUCAUCCCUGAAACAUUUAAGCACUUUGUGUACUGAGCCUUAAGAAAAAUCCCUUUACAGGUCUGCAUCAAAAUCCAUACGGAGGGCUGGGGAGGGCUGGGGACAUUGCUCUGGGGCCCUGUGCUUCCCUGGCAUGCGGAAGACUCUGGGUUACAUUUU
Molecule: long non-coding RNA, 4712 nt
Filed under: Marmota monax (woodchuck)
Lineage: Eukaryota; Metazoa; Chordata; Mammalia; Rodentia; Sciuridae
Source: RNAcentral